Molecule: transfer RNA, 72 nt
Filed under: Psilocybe cubensis
Lineage: Eukaryota; Fungi; Basidiomycota; Agaricomycetes; Agaricales; Agrocybaceae
Rfam family: tRNA
About the family: Transfer RNA (tRNA) molecules are approximately 80 nucleotides in length. Their secondary structure includes four short double-helical elements and three loops (D, anti-codon, and T loops). Further hydrogen bonds mediate the characteristic L-shaped molecular structure. tRNAs have two regions of fundamental functional importance: the anti-codon, which is responsible for specific mRNA codon recognition, and the 3' end, to which the tRNAs corresponding amino acid is attached (by aminoacyl-tRNA synthetases). tRNAs cope with the degeneracy of the genetic code in two manners: having more than one tRNA (with a specific anti-codon) for a particular amino acid; and 'wobble' base-pairing, i.e. permitting non-standard base-pairing at the 3rd anti-codon position.
Source: Rfam by way of RNAcentral
GGUCAUGUAGCUCAGUGGUAAAGUAUUGGCAUAUAUGUUCAGGAGUCACUGGUUCAAUUCCAGUCAUAACCG